This 253-nucleotide ribosomal RNA is filed under the name uncultured bacterium. Its description in RNAcentral is "partial 16S ribosomal RNA". It matches the Rfam family "Bacterial small subunit ribosomal RNA", at positions 524 to 776 of the family's 1533-position model. The record is from RNAcentral.
UACGUAGGGGGCAAGCGUUGUCCGGAUUUAUUGGGCGUAAAGAGCGUGUAGGCGGUUUGGUAGGUCCGCUGUGAAAACUCGAGGCUCAACCUCGAGACGCCGGUGGAAACCAUCAGACUAGAGUCCGGAAGAGGAGAGUGGAAUUCCUAGUGUAGAGGUGAAAUUCUUAGAUAUUGGGAAGAACACCGGUGGCGAAGGCGGCUAUCUGGACCGUAACUGACGCUGAGGCGCGAAAGCGUGGGGAGCAAACAGG